UGUAAGCGUAUACCAAAGUUGUUGCAGUUAAAACGCUCGUAGUCGGAAUUUGGCAGUUCCGGAAGUGUGCACGUCGUGUGCGCACUUUGCGGGGACUGCUUUUGUGGUCUUGCGUAGGAUGAGGCACUUUCAUUAGUGAACGUCCUCACGCAACCACUCUUUACUGUGAGAAAAUCAGAGUGCUCAAAGCAGGCAUUUACCGUGAAUGUAUUAGCAUGGAAUAAUAGAAUAGGACUCGGUUCUAUUUUGUUGGUUUGUUGGGACUGAGUAAUGAUUAAGAGGGACAGUUGGGGGCAUUUGUAUUCCGGCGCUAGAGGUGAAAUUCUUAGAUUGCCGGAAGACAAACUGCUGCGAAAGCGUCUGCCAAGGAUGUUUUCAUUGA
This 382-nucleotide ribosomal RNA is filed under the name uncultured eukaryote. RNAcentral's name for it is "partial 18S ribosomal RNA". It matches the Rfam family "Eukaryotic small subunit ribosomal RNA", at positions 592 to 976 of the family's 1831-position model. The record is from RNAcentral.